CUUGAAUUUGGAAGAAGGCGAGAAAAGCUGUGUGAAUAGAAGAUAGAGCCCGUACCGCAAACCGACACAGGUAGAUAGGAAGAAGAUUCUAAGGCCAACGGGAGAAGGGUUGUUAAGGAACUCGGCAAGUUGACCCCGUAACUUAGGGAGAAGGGGUGCUCUUUAAGGAGAGCCGCAGAGAAUAGGCCCAAGCGACUGUUUAGCAAAAACACAGCUCUAUGCUAAAUCGAAAGAUGACGUAUAUGGGGUGACACCUGCCCGGUGCCGGAAGGUUAAGAGGAGGAGUGAGAGCUCUGAAUUGAAGCCCCGGUAAACGGCGGCCGUAACGAUAACGGUCCUAAGGUAGCGAAAUUCCUUGUCAGGUAAGUUCUGACCCGCACGAAUGGUGUAACGAUUUGGGCACUGUCUCAACAACCUGCCCGGCGAAAUUGUAGUACCGGUGAAGAUGCCGGUUACCCGCGACUAGACGGAAAGACCCCAUGGAGCUUUACUGCAGCUUAAUAUUGAAUUUCGGUAUUUCAUGUACAGGAUAGGUGGGAGACAGGGAACCAUAGGCGUCAGCUUAUGGGGAGUCGACCUUGGGAUACCACUCUUGAGGUGCUGGAAUUCUAACCUGUGGCUCUGAAUCGAGUCAGGGGACAUUGUUAGGCGGGCAGUUUGACUGGGGCGGUCGCCUCCAAAAAGGUAACGGAGGCGCUCAAAGGUUCGCUCAGCAUGGAUGGAAACCAUGCUUUUGAGUGUAAACGCAAAAGCGAGCCUAACUGCGAGACUGACGGGUCGAGCAGUAACGAAAGUUGGAGUUAGUGAUCCGGCGGUAUGUGAGUGGAAAUGCCGUCGCUCAACGGAUAAAAGCUACCCUGGGGAUAACAGGCUGAUCUCCCCCAAGAGUCCACAUCGACGGGGAGGCUUGGCACCUCGAUGUCGGCUCAUCGCAUCCUGGGGCUGAAUUCGGUCCCAAGGGUUUGGCUGUUCGCCAAUUAAAGCGGUACGCGAGCUGGGUUCAGAACGUCGUGAGACAGUUCGGUCCCUAUCUGUCGUGGGCGUAGGAUAUUUGAAAGGAGCUGUCCCUAGUACGAGAGGACCGGGAUGGACGCACCGCUGGUGCACCAGUUGUCAUGCCAAUGGCACAGCUGGGCAGCUAUGUGCGGAACGGAUAAACGCUGAAGGCAUCUAAGCGUGAAGCCGACCUUAAGAUAAGAUAUCCCUUCGUAAGAGUAAGACCUCUCAUAGACUAUGAGUUUGAUAGGCCUAAGGUGUAAGCACAGUGAUGUGUUCAGCCUGCAGGUACUAAUCGGUCGAGGGCUUUUCCA
This 1310-nucleotide ribosomal RNA is filed under the name metagenome. RNAcentral describes it as "bacterial LSU rRNA". It matches the Rfam family "Bacterial large subunit ribosomal RNA", at positions 1591 to 2925 of the family's 2925-position model. The record is from RNAcentral.